GAGGAGGGUCGGGCGGGUCUCAGCCUCUCCUCGCCCCCAGGCUCCCACUCCAUGAGGUAUUUCUACACCGCCGUGUCCCGGCCCGGCCGUCGGGAGCCCCUCUUCAUCGCCGUGGGCUACGUGGACGAUACGCAGUUCGUGCGGUUCGACAGCGACGCUGAGAGUCCGAGGAUGGAGCCGCGGGCGCCGUGGGUGGAGCAGGAGGGGCCGGAGUAUUGGGACCGGGAGACACAGAACAUGAAGACCGCGACACGGACCUACCGAGGGAACCUGCGGACCCUGCUCCGCUACUACAACCAGAGCCAGGGCGAGCCGUUUUCCCAGUCCACCAUCCCCAUCGUGGGCAUCAUUGGUGGCCUGGUUCUGCUUGGAACUGUGGUCACUGGAGCUGUGGUUGCUGCUGUGAUGUGGAGGAGGAAGAGCUCAGAUAGAUAAGGCGGGAGCUACUCUCAGGCUGCAAGCAGUGACAGUGCCCAAGGUUCUGAUGUGUCUCUCACGGCUUUAAAGUGUGAGACAGCUGCCUUGUGUGGGAUUGAGAGGCAAGAUUUGUUCACACCUUCUCUUUGUGACUUGAAGAACCCUGACUUUCUUUCUGCAGAGGCACCUGAAUGUGUCUGUGUUCCUGUAGGCAUAAUGUGCAACUUGGUGAGAGGCCCUGAGUCCGAAGCUCACAGAGAAACCUCUCCUGGAUUCCUGACCAUUGGAAACUGUGGGAGGUGCGACCUGGACCCGGACUGGAGCCUCCUCCGCGAGUAUGAACAUAACCUACGACGGCGCCAGUUACCUUGUCCUAAACCAGGAACUGCGCUCUUGGACCCCAGAGGACAAGGCGGCUCAGAUGCCCUGGCGGAGGAACAUGCAGAGCUGCUGAAAACCUACCCGCAGGGAAGGUGGCCGGAGCGGCUCAGCAAAGGCCUUAAGAAUGGGAAGGAGAAGCUGCAGUGCGCAGAUCCCCCAAAGACACGUGUGACCCACCACCCCAUCUCAGACCAUGAGGCCACCCUGAGGUGCUGGGCUCUGGGCUUCUACCCUGUAGAGAUCACAAUGACCCAACAGAGGAAUGGAGAGGACCAAAUUUAGGAUGCACACUUCUGGGGACCAGACCUGCAGGGUACAGAAACUUCCAGAAGUAGGCAACUGUGGUGGUG
Molecule: RNA transcript, 1148 nt
Organism: Cercocebus atys (sooty mangabey)
Lineage: Eukaryota; Metazoa; Chordata; Mammalia; Primates; Cercopithecidae
Gene name: HLA class I histocompatibility antigen, A-1 alpha chain-like
Exons: 8
Source: RefSeq, a predicted model, not a curated record